This is a long non-coding RNA of Corvus hawaiiensis (hawaiian crow), 391 nucleotides long. RefSeq lists it as uncharacterized. Lineage: Eukaryota; Metazoa; Chordata; Aves; Passeriformes; Corvidae. The record is from RefSeq and is a predicted model, not a curated record. The transcript has 2 exons.
AUUUUGGGGGAUCUGGGAUGGGUUUGGGGGAGAUUUUGGGACUCCAACAUUCCCAUUUUUUUCCCAGGGGAUCAAGAAUGGGUUCGGGGUGGAUUUGAGGGGAUUUUGGGACCCCAAAAUUCCCGGGUUUUUUUUCCGAGGGGGACUCGAGCUUUGGGGGGAUUUGGGGGGAUUUGGGAUCUCCGAAUUCCCGUUUUUUUCCUUCCCAGGGGAGCUGGAUCCCGAGCGGAUGGGAUCGGGGAUCCAGUACGGGGACGCGUCGCUCCGGCAGCUCCGGCAGGCCCCGGGGAGCUCCGGCCCAGAGCCGGCAGAGCUGCGGCUGCUGAGACCCCCCCCAAAAACCCCCAAAAUCAGGACCAGGUGCCUCUGCCGGACCUCGGGGACCCCCCCC